RNAcentral lists this unclassified non-coding RNA (339 nucleotides) under soil metagenome. Its description in RNAcentral is "partial contains 5.8S ribosomal RNA, internal transcribed spacer 2, and large subunit ribosomal RNA". The stretch from base 1 to 120 matches the Rfam family "5.8S ribosomal RNA", at positions 35 to 154 of the family's 154-position model. The record is from RNAcentral.
GAUGAAGAACGCAGCGAAAUGCGAUAAGUAAUGUGAAUUGCAGAAUUCAGUGAAUCAUCGAAUCUUUGAACGCACAUUGCGCCCGCCAGUAUUCUGGCGGGCAUGCCUGUCCGAGCGUCAUUUCAACCAUCAAGCCCCCGGGCUUGUGUUGGGGACCUGCGGCUGCCCGCAGGCCCUGAAAACCAGUGGCGGGCUCGCUGUCACACCGAGCGUAGUAGCAAUCACCUCGCUCAGAGCGUGCUGCGGGUUCCGGCCGUUAAACAGCCUUACAAAACCCAAGGUUGACCUCGGAUCAGGUAGGAAGACCCGCUGAACUUAAGCAUAUCAAUAAGCGGAGGA